Molecule: small nucleolar RNA, 168 nt
Filed under: Podarcis lilfordi (Lilford's wall lizard)
Lineage: Eukaryota; Metazoa; Chordata; Lepidosauria; Squamata; Lacertidae
Source: RNAcentral
GGAAGAUUCAUAAAGAAGGAGAGGCCCAGAGACUGUUUGAUAACAUUGAGAUCAAAGGAGGAAAGGGAUAAGAUUUUGGGCCUACAUCCCAAAAUCUUAUCCCUUUCCUCCUUUGAUCUCAAUGUUAUCAAACAGUCUCUGGGCCUCUCCUUCUUUAUGAAUCUUCCA